CUAUCUGUCUGAAAUUUUAGAAAAGAGUUCACCUUGGGAUAUGUUAGAAAUUAAAUAAUUCUUCUGUCUGUUCCAUCUCAAAGGUAGGACGAAUUCUUCGUCAGGUCAGUGGGAAGCUGUCACAGUGGAGAUAAAUCUUUGGAACUGUCGUGCCAAGGGCCACCGCCACAUGGGUUUGCUUGUCCAGGUUUGAGGGUGAGGGGUGGGUCCAGCCAAGUAAAUAAAUGAGUAACUCAUGCAACUGAGGUUAAGGUUUUUUUAAGUUGAUCUGUGUUCACACCUGAAGGAAAGUUUGGCAGACUUUGAUGUUUAAGCCAAACGGAUUCCAAAGAGCUCUGCGGAGAAAAGUGCUUAUUUUUACCAAGAGUGAACAUUUCUGCUGUGUCUGCUUGUACUCGCCUCAGAAGCAAACUUGAUUUUAGGAAAAUUAAGUGUUGGUGUAGCUGCCUUCCAUUUCUCUGAUGUGACAGCACUCCUCCCUCGGCACCUGUCUUUCUCCUGCUGCCUGAGCAUUGGAGGCAGAGCAUGAAACCCAGUACCUCUGUGGACACAAGAGAUAGUUCAAGGAGGUCACACUCCAAGUUGUUAGCCCCUGUCUGUGGGAGUGGGAUUUAGAAAUCGGUGGCUAGGAGGUGACUUCUGCAUUUGAAUGAAGUCUGCAUUGUUCAACUUUUAACUUUUAGACCAGAAGAAUAAAGAACAAAAACUCAGUGAAUAAAGCAGCAAUAAUGGGGGGAUCUCAGGGUACUUAGGACUUUUAAAUCAGCCUCUUAUGUAAUUAGGGAUUAAAGAGGAAGUCAAAAUACAACACACUAUUUAGCAUGCGGGAGAAUGAAAACAUCCUUAUUGGAACCUGUGGGAUCUACUCAGGGUCCAGUAGCCAUCAGUCCGGUAGUCCUAAUAUUGGCUUUCUGGUUAUGCUUGCCAACCGUUCCUUGGGACACGGAGUCGCCUGAGGCUCCGUUCAAAGGUUGCCGUGCCCUGUUGCGGCAUCUCGAAGGUUUGAGGCACAAGACGUGUAAGGAGCACAAGGCAUUUCCUCUGGGAUGGGAGUUCCGGCUCCACUUUAAAGUGGCCCCGUUCACUCCGUCGUCAUUAUUUUUUACAAGGGAUUGCUGAGUCACAGGGUGGUGCCCCUGCGGGCCACCGUGGCCGUGCCCAAGCUGCAGCUCUCCACCAGCUGGGUGGACUUCGGGAGCUGCUUUGUGAACAAGGAGCACAUCUGGGAGGUCUACCUGAUGAACCUGAGUGGUUCCCGGAGCUACUACUGGACUGUGCUGAUGGGUACGUCACACUCUCCUGUCUGCCCGUUGCUCCCGUGUGGCUGGGCCAGGACCGCCAGGAAGGGGCCCGUGUGUCCUGUCCCCGCAGGCUGGUACCACCUGGGAAUUCCUGCAGAGAUGGCCAGUUCGCCAGUCCCGGGGUAUCCCCAGGGGUCCAGAAGGCCAAGAAAAGCCAAGGCCUUCUUCAAGAGAAACAAUGUGGAAGAACUCACUCUCCUGGAUUUGAAGACUUUAAACACCACAGCACCCAAGAAAAUGUGGUAUGGGUGCCAGAAUGACACACC
Long non-coding RNA from Phyllostomus discolor (pale spear-nosed bat), 1567 nucleotides. RefSeq lists it as uncharacterized. The record is from RefSeq and is a predicted model, not a curated record. The transcript has 3 exons. NCBI's taxonomy places the organism in Eukaryota, Metazoa, Chordata, Mammalia, Chiroptera, Phyllostomidae.